AGGUGGUCUGAGAGGAUGGUCACCCACACUGGGACUGAGAUACUGGCCAGAAUCCUACGGGAGGCUGCAGUCGAGACUCAUCCGCAAUGGGCGAAAGCCUGACGGUGCAAUGCCGCGUGGGGGAUGAAGGCCUUCGGGUCGUACACCCCUGUCAUAGGGGACGAAAAACAUGACUGUACCCUCAGAGGAAGACACGGCUAACUACGUGCCAGAAGACGCGGGUCAUACGUAUGUGGCGAGCGUAAUCCGGAUUUACUGGGCGUCCAGGGUCCGCAUAGGGUUAGCAGAGUACGCUGUUAAAGUCCGCAGCUCAACUGCGGAACUGCUUCGGAUACUUGGUGAACUUUGAGUGCGCGAAGGCUGACCGGAAUUCCAGUUGUUAGCGGUGGAAUGCGUAGAUAUCUGGAAGAACACCGCUGGUGAAAGCGGCUCGCUGGAGCGCCACUGACCCUCAUGGACGAAAGCGUGGGGAUCGAACAGGAUUAGAUACCCUGGUAGUCCACGCUGUAAACGGUGCAGACUCGAUGCGGGGGUCGGUCCCCUCCGUGUCUAAGCCAACGCGUUAAGUCUGCCGCCUGGGGACUACGGCCGCAAGGCUAAGACUCAAAGGAAUUGACGGGGGCCCGCACAAGCGGUGGAGCAUGUGGCUUAAUUCGAGGCAACGCGAAGAACCUUACCCGGGCUUGACAUAUUCCGGACCGCCUGUGAAAGCAGGUUUUCCCUUCGGGGACCGGUAUACAGGUGCUGCAUGGCUGUCGUCAGCUCGUGCCGUGAGGUGUUCGGUUAAGUCCGGCAACGAGCGCAACCCGUAUCGUCAGUUGCCAUCAGGUAAUGCUGGGCACUCUGGCGAGACUGCCCGUGUCAAGCGGGAGGAAGGCGCGGACGACGUCAAGUCCGUACGGCCCUUACGCCCGGGGCUGCACACGUGCUACAAUGGGCGGUACAGUGGGAAGCGAAACCGCGAGGUGAAGCGAAUCCCCAAAACCGCCCCCAGUUCGGAUCGGAGUCUGCAAUUCGACUCCGUGAAGUCGGAAUCGCUAGUAAAGGCGCAUCAGCAACGGCGCCUUGAAUUCGUUCCCGGGCAUUGUACACACCGCCCGUCACAUCAUGGAAGCCGGCUGCACCCGAAGU
Molecule: ribosomal RNA, 1131 nt
Filed under: uncultured organism
Description: bacterial SSU rRNA
Rfam family: Bacterial small subunit ribosomal RNA
Source: RNAcentral